RNAcentral lists this ribosomal RNA (497 nucleotides) under uncultured bacterium. RNAcentral's name for it is "partial 16S ribosomal RNA". It matches the Rfam family "Bacterial small subunit ribosomal RNA", at positions 28 to 507 of the family's 1533-position model. The record is from RNAcentral.
GGUGAACGCUGGCGGCGUGCCUAAUACAUGCAAGUCGAGCGAACAGACGAGGAGCUUGCUCCUCUGACGUUAGCGGCGGACGGGUGAGUAACACGUGGGUAACCUACCUAUAAGACUGGGAUAACUUCGGGAAACCGGAGCUAAUACCGGAUAAUAUAUUGAACCGCAUGGUUCAAUAGUGAAAGACGGUUUUGCUGUCACUUAUAGAUGGAUCCGCGCCGCAUUAGCUAGUUGGUAAGGUAACGGCUUACCAAGGCAACGAUGCGUAGCCGACCUGAGAGGGUGAUCGGCCACACUGGAACUGAGACACGGUCCAGACUCCUACGGGAGGCAGCAGUAGGGAAUCUUCCGCAAUGGGCGAAAGCCUGACGGAGCAACGCCGCGUGAGUGAUGAAGGUCUUCGGAUCGUAAAACUCUGUUAUUAGGGAAGAACAAAUGUGUAAGUAACUAUGCACGUCUUGACGGUACCUAAUCAGAAAGCCACGGCUAACUACGUG